UCGAGUCUCGUUUCUUUCGUGGCCGUGGAUUUCCUUGCUUUCUCUUGGCUCAACCAAACUCGCCGUUAAUCGCGAGUCGUUGCUCCCGUCGCACCGUGCGAAUCGCCCUUAGAUUGCUCGGUGUCGCCGCCACACGCGAAUGCAACAACGUGCAUGUCGAAUGGAUCCUUCCACUUUUUCCAUUAUCAAAGCCACUCCCUUUUGAUCGUCGAUCAACAGGAAGAUUCCAUAGUGGAUCGAAAUGCCGUGGAUGACAUAAUCCAUCCAUGCAACGGACCCAUCGAUCGCGAAGAACACAGGCGACGGGAAGCGAGCCGAUUCUUUUAUGGCGUACUCGAUCCGAGAUUCAAAAGGGCAGCGAGCCACGAAUGCGAAUCGCGGUGUUGGUCGGUGUAUGGAAAAGGAAAUCGACCGGCGAUCGGGAUUUAUUAUUCAACACACGGAGCCCGGACGUUCCUUCCUUCUUGAAGCAUUCCACGAUAUACGAUACUCGAUGCCAGUCGAAGACAGCACCUCUUGCAAGCAUCGUGUGUUUGAGCGAAGAUCGACGGAAAUAGCGUGCACGACCUUCUUCUCUCUUCCUGUAUCUACGUAAUCGUUGAUCAAAUUCGAAGAUUUCUUCGUGACAGAAAAUGGAAUUCGGUAGCGAACAGCGUUGCCAUAGUCUGUCGGAGAGUCUUCCAAGAAAAAUUUCCAUGGGGUUGAUACGCAGGACCUUGGAAAGAAGAAAAUUGCGAAAAUCUUUGAUGACAGAAGACGCUUUUCUCUUCGUCAAAAGACCAACAAAUACGAUGGAACAAUGUGAAGAUAAAAAAGAUGUGUGUUCGAUGUUUCCGGUGUGCAAGGAAGAAGUUAGGA
This is a long non-coding RNA of Bombus terrestris (buff-tailed bumblebee), 858 nucleotides long. RefSeq lists it as uncharacterized. Lineage: Eukaryota; Metazoa; Arthropoda; Insecta; Hymenoptera; Apidae. The record is from RefSeq and is a predicted model, not a curated record. The transcript has 3 exons.